RNAcentral lists this non-coding RNA (139 nucleotides) under bovine gut metagenome. The record is from RNAcentral.
CAUCGCAAGGUGGAAUCUGAAGGUGGAGGUAAACACCUGGCCUGACGAACAGAAACUUGAAGGCCUAUGGGCCUGGCUGAGGCUGCUAACCAACCCAAAGCCCUAUGCGUUUAUAUAGUCAGAUGCUCCACAAAGGAGG